GUGCUCAAUUGGGCACAACAUAUACUAAAAUUGAAACGAUACAGAGAAGUUUAUCUGUGCAAGGAUGACACACAAAUUCAUGAAGCAUUCCAUAUUUUG
Molecule: small nuclear RNA, 99 nt
Organism: Cervus hanglu yarkandensis (Yarkand deer)
Lineage: Eukaryota; Metazoa; Chordata; Mammalia; Artiodactyla; Cervidae
Source: Ensembl